UACGGGGGGAGCAAGCGUUGUUCGGAUUUACUGGGCGUAAAGGGCGCGUAGGCGGUCGUGACAAGUCACUUGUGAAAUCUCCGGGCUUAACUCGGAACGGUCAAGUGAUACUGUCGGACUAGAGUACAGAAGGGGCAACUGGAAUUCUCGGUGUAGCGGUGAAAUGCGUAGAUAUCGAGAGGAACACCUGCGGCGAAGGCGGAUUGCUGGGCUGAUACUGACGCUGAGGCGCGAAAGCCAGGGGAGCGAACGGG
This 254-nucleotide ribosomal RNA is filed under the name uncultured bacterium. Its description in RNAcentral is "partial 16S ribosomal RNA". It matches the Rfam family "Bacterial small subunit ribosomal RNA", at positions 524 to 776 of the family's 1533-position model. The record is from RNAcentral.